CCCUUAGAUGUUCUGGGCCGCACGCGUGCUACACUGAUGCAUUCAACGAGUCUAAAACCUGGUCUGAUAGGGCUGGGUAAUCUUUUGAAAGUGCAUCGUGAUUGGGAUAGAUGAUUGCAAUUCUUCAUCUUCAACGAGGAAUGCCUAGUAAACGCAAGUCAUCAGCUUGCAUUGAUUACGUCCCUGCCCUUUGUACACACCGCCCGUCGCUACUACUGAUUGGGUGUUCAAGUGAGAUGCUUAGACCCUUGUUGCAUGGUUCAUUAUUGUGCUCCGAAAGGAAAAAGUUUCAAGCUUGAGUGUCUAGAGGAAGUAAAAGUCGUAACA
Molecule: ribosomal RNA, 327 nt
Filed under: uncultured eukaryote
Lineage: Eukaryota
Description: partial 18S ribosomal RNA
Rfam family: Eukaryotic small subunit ribosomal RNA
Source: RNAcentral